Molecule: transfer RNA, 77 nt
Filed under: Chloroflexota bacterium
Lineage: Bacteria; Bacillati; Chloroflexota
Description: Chloroflexi bacterium tRNA-Arg
Rfam family: tRNA
About the family: Transfer RNA (tRNA) molecules are approximately 80 nucleotides in length. Their secondary structure includes four short double-helical elements and three loops (D, anti-codon, and T loops). Further hydrogen bonds mediate the characteristic L-shaped molecular structure. tRNAs have two regions of fundamental functional importance: the anti-codon, which is responsible for specific mRNA codon recognition, and the 3' end, to which the tRNAs corresponding amino acid is attached (by aminoacyl-tRNA synthetases). tRNAs cope with the degeneracy of the genetic code in two manners: having more than one tRNA (with a specific anti-codon) for a particular amino acid; and 'wobble' base-pairing, i.e. permitting non-standard base-pairing at the 3rd anti-codon position.
Source: RNAcentral
GCGCCCUUAGCUCAGUGGAUUAGAGCGACUGGCUACGAACCAGUAGGUCGGGAGUUCGACUCUCUCAGGGCGUACUA